RNAcentral lists this microRNA precursor (59 nucleotides) under Eptatretus burgeri (inshore hagfish). RNAcentral's name for it is "Ebu-Novel-1_pre stem-loop". Lineage: Eukaryota; Metazoa; Chordata; Myxini; Myxiniformes; Myxinidae. The record is from RNAcentral.
AGGUUCGGGUCCAUUCCAUCAGCUCAGUUUUGGUUGUUGAUGGAAAGCUCCGAGUCUCC